This 1564-nucleotide ribosomal RNA is filed under the name Pseudomonas aeruginosa. RNAcentral describes it as "bacterial LSU rRNA". It matches the Rfam family "Bacterial large subunit ribosomal RNA", at positions 655 to 2204 of the family's 2925-position model. Lineage: Bacteria; Pseudomonadati; Pseudomonadota; Gammaproteobacteria; Pseudomonadales; Pseudomonadaceae. The record is from RNAcentral.
GUACAGCUCAGGCGUAGCGAAAGCGAGUCUUAAUAGGGCGUUUAGUCGCUGGGUAUAGACCCGAAACCGGGCGAUCUAUCCAUGAGCAGGUUGAAGGUUAGGUAACACUGACUGGAGGACCGAACCCACUCCCGUUGAAAAGGUAGGGGAUGACUUGUGGAUCGGAGUGAAAGGCUAAUCAAGCUCGGAGAUAGCUGGUUCUCCUCGAAAGCUAUUUAGGUAGCGCCUCAUGUAUCACUCUGGGGGGUAGAGCACUGUUUCGGCUAGGGGGUCAUCCCGACUUACCAAACCGAUGCAAACUCCGAAUACCCAGAAGUGCCGAGCAUGGGAGACACACGGCGGGUGCUAACGUCCGUCGUGAAAAGGGAAACAACCCAGACCGCCAGCUAAGGUCCCAAAGUUGUGGUUAAGUGGUAAACGAUGUGGGAAGGCUUAGACAGCUAGGAGGUUGGCUUAGAAGCAGCCACCCUUUAAAGAAAGCGUAAUAGCUCACUAGUCGAGUCGGCCUGCGCGGAAGAUGUAACGGGGCUCAAACCACACACCGAAGCUGCGGGUGUCACGUAAGUGACGCGGUAGAGGAGCGUUCUGUAAGCCUGUGAAGGUGAGUUGAGAAGCUUGCUGGAGGUAUCAGAAGUGCGAAUGCUGACAUGAGUAACGACAAUGGGUGUGAAAAACACCCACGCCGAAAGACCAAGGGUUCCUGCGCAACGUUAAUCGACGCAGGGUUAGUCGGUUCCUAAGGCGAGGCUGAAAAGCGUAGUCGAUGGGAAACAGGUUAAUAUUCCUGUACUUCUGGUUACUGCGAUGGAGGGACGGAGAAGGCUAGGCCAGCUUGGCGUUGGUUGUCCAAGUUUAAGGUGGUAGGCUGAAAUCUUAGGUAAAUCCGGGGUUUCAAGGCCGAGAGCUGAUGACGAGUCGUCUUUUAGAUGACGAAGUGGUUGAUGCCAUGCUUCCAAGAAAAGCUUCUAAGCUUCAGGUAACCAGGAACCGUACCCCAAACCGACACAGGUGGUCGGGUAGAGAAUACCAAGGCGCUUGAGAGAACUCGGGUGAAGGAACUAGGCAAAAUGGCACCGUAACUUCGGGAGAAGGUGCGCCGGCUAGGGUGAAGGAUUUACUCCGUAAGCUCUGGCUGGUCGAAGAUACCAGGCCGCUGCGACUGUUUAUUAAAAACACAGCACUCUGCAAACACGAAAGUGGACGUAUAGGGUGUGACGCCUGCCCGGUGCCGGAAGGUUAAUUGAUGGGGUUAGCGCAAGCGAAGCUCUUGAUCGAAGCCCCGGUAAACGGCGGCCGUAACUAUAACGGUCCUAAGGUAGCGAAAUUCCUUGUCGGGUAAGUUCCGACCUGCACGAAUGGCGUAACGAUGGCGGCGCUGUCUCCACCCGAGACUCAGUGAAAUUGAAAUCGCUGUGAAGAUGCAGUGUAUCCGCGGCUAGACGGAAAGACCCCGUGAACCUUUACUGUAGCUUUGCACUGGACUUUGAGCCUGCUUGUGUAGGAUAGGUGGGAGGCUUUGAAGCGUGGACGCCAGUUCGCGUGGAGCCAUCCUUGAAAUACCACC